UAAGGAAUAUUGGUCAAUGGAGGCAACUCUGAACCAGCCAUGCCGCGUGCAGGAAGAAGGCCCUAUGGGUCGUAAACUGCUUUUGAACAAGAGAAAACCCCGGUACGUGUACUGGGUUGAUAGUAUUGUUAGAAUAAGCAUCGGCUAACUUCGUGCCAGCAGCCGCGGUAAGACGAAGGAUGCAAGCGUUAUCCGGAUUCAUUGGGUUUAAAGGGUGCGUAGGCGGACUGAUAAGUCAGUGGUGAAAUCUCUCGGCUUAACCGAGAAACUGCCAUUGAUACUGUUAGUCUAGAGUACAGAUGAUGUGGGCGGAAUAUGACAUGUAGUGGUGAAAUACUUAGAUAUGUCAUAGAACACCGAUUGCGAAGGCAGCUCACAAAACUGUAACUGACGCUGAGGCACGAAAGUGCGGGGAUCAAACAGGAUUAGAUACCCACGUAGUCCCUGAGCGGGCUGGCAAGGCGCAU
This 467-nucleotide ribosomal RNA is filed under the name uncultured bacterium. Its description in RNAcentral is "bacterial SSU rRNA". It matches the Rfam family "Bacterial small subunit ribosomal RNA", at positions 355 to 825 of the family's 1533-position model. The record is from RNAcentral.